AGUAAUGCGUGACCAACCUGCCCCAUGCUCCAGAAUAGCUCUUGGAAACGGGUGGUAAUGCUGGAUGCUCCAACUUGACGCAUGUCUUGUUGGGAAAGUGUUUAGUGGCAUGGGAUGGGGUCGCGUCCUAUCAGCUUGUAGGCGGGGUAAUGGCCCACCUAGGCUUCGACGGGUAGCCGGCCUGAGAGGGCAGACGGCCACAUUGGGACUGAGAUACGGCCCAGACUCCUACGGGAGGCAGCAGCU
This 246-nucleotide ribosomal RNA is filed under the name uncultured Gardnerella sp. RNAcentral's name for it is "partial 16S ribosomal RNA". It matches the Rfam family "Bacterial small subunit ribosomal RNA", at positions 109 to 355 of the family's 1533-position model. Lineage: Bacteria; Bacillati; Actinomycetota; Actinomycetes; Bifidobacteriales; Bifidobacteriaceae. The record is from RNAcentral.